UUUCCACAACAUCCUUACCAAUAAUAUUCUCACAACUACCACUAUCAAUAAUCACAUCAAAUAAAUUGUUAGUAUUCUCAUAACUACCACUAUCAAUAAUCACAUCAAAUAAAUGGCUAGUGAUAGUGCACCUAAUUCGAAAUAAUUGAUGUCGCUUAGUAUUAUCUUUUUAUUUUGAAGACAAUAUCAUUCUUCUCACCACAUAAUUUUGGCCAUCAUCAUAAUCCUCAUACUCAUCAUCAUCCCCAUUUGCACUACAACAAAUCUCAUCAUCCUCUUCUUCUCGUUCCACCACAUGAACUGCUUUUUUGAAAGUACAAUCACUAAAUCUAUGACCAGAUUGAUUACAUUUGAAACACUACCUUAGGGUUGGUUUGACAUAAGGAUUUACAAUUUUUUGCCAUUCCUUCGCAUAUGUCAGCUUUCCAAUUACCUUCUCUUCCGUGUACCAGUUAUUGCGUGCAGAACUAUCAUGAAGUAAUUUAUUCUUGUCGUUGGAUGUUCUAUCGUUAUCCUUGCUGUAACUCUUGUAAGAAAAAUCAAGUCUAUUCUUUUCUCGCUGUAGACACUAAAUUUUUAGGUGAAAUAAACAUUAUAGAAGAAAAAAUGAGAAAAAGCAAGAAACAAAAAAAAUGAAAAUGAAAAGAAAAAAGAAGAAAAAAU
This 663-nucleotide long non-coding RNA is filed under the name Theobroma cacao (cacao). RNAcentral's name for it is "long non-coding RNA (TCAC_LNC004623)". Lineage: Eukaryota; Viridiplantae; Streptophyta; Magnoliopsida; Malvales; Malvaceae. The record is from RNAcentral.